CUUGAACGCUGGCGGAAUGCUUUACACAUGCAAGUCGAACGGUAGAGGGGGCAACCCCUCGAGAGUGGCGAACGGGUGAGUAAUAUAUCGGAACGUGCCCCGUCGUGGGGGAUAACGUAGCGAAAGUUACGCUAAUCCCGCAUACGAACUAAGGAUGAAAGCGGGGGAUCGCAAGACCUCGCGCGAGUGGAGCGGCCGAUAUCAGAUUAGGUAGUUGGUGGGGUAAAGGCUCACCAAGCCAACGAUCUGUAGCUGGUCUGAGAGGACGACCAGCCACACUGGAACUGAGACACGGUCCAGACUCCUACGGGAGGCAGCAGUGGGGAAUUUUGGACAAUGGACGCAAGUCUGAUCCAGCCAUUCCGCGUGCAGGAUGAAGGCCCUCGGGUUGUAAACUGCUUUUGUACGGAACGAAAAGGUCUCUCUUAAUACGGGGGACUCAUGACGGUACCGUAAGAAUAAGCACCGGCUAACUACGUGCCAGCCGCCGCCGUAA
Molecule: ribosomal RNA, 496 nt
Filed under: uncultured bacterium
Lineage: Bacteria
Description: partial 16S ribosomal RNA
Rfam family: Bacterial small subunit ribosomal RNA
Source: RNAcentral